GAUGAACGCUGGCGGCGUGCCUAAUACAUGCAAGUCGAGCGAACGGACGAGAAGCUUGCUUCUCUGAUGUUAGCGGCGGACGGGUGAGUAACACGUGGAUAACCUACCUAUAAGACUGGGAUAACUUCGGGAAACCGGAGCUAAUACCGGAUAAUAUUUUGAACCGCAUGGUUCAAAAGUGAAAGACGGUCUUGCUGUCACUUAUAGAUGGAUCCGCGCUGCAUUAGCUAGUUGGUAAGGUAACGGCUUACCAAGGCAACGAUGCAUAGCCGACCUGAGAGGGUGAUCAGCCACACUGGAACUGAGACACGGUCCAGACUCCUACGGGAGGCAGCAGUAGGGAAUCUUGCGCAAUGGGCGAAAGCCUGACGGAGCAACGCCGCGUGAGUGAUGAAGGUCUUCGGAUCGUAAAACUCUGUUAUUAGGGAAGAACAUAUGUGUAAGUAACUGUGCACAUCUUGACGGUACCUAAUCAGAAAGCCACGGCUAACUACGUG
RNAcentral lists this ribosomal RNA (497 nucleotides) under uncultured bacterium. RNAcentral's name for it is "partial 16S ribosomal RNA". It matches the Rfam family "Bacterial small subunit ribosomal RNA", at positions 28 to 507 of the family's 1533-position model. The record is from RNAcentral.